AAAAGGGACAUUUGGGGGCAUACGAACUCGGCAGCGAGAGGUGAAAUUCUAAGACCUGCCGAGGUCGAACUAAAGCGAAAGCAUUUGCCAAGAAUGUUUUCAUUGAUCAAGAACGAAAGUUGGAGGAUCAAAAACGAUCAGAUACCGUUGUAGUUCCAACUUUAAACUAUGCCGACUGUAGGGGCCAGUUCGGUAUAUCCGUACUUAUUGACCUCCCAGGGAAACCAUAGUAGGGUUCUGGGGGGAGUACGGUCGCAAGUCUGAAACUUAAAGGAAUUGACGGAAGGGCACCACCAGGAGUGGAUCCUGCGGCUUAAUUUGACUCAACACGGGGAAACUUACCCGGUCCGGACACCGAUAGGAUUGACAGACUAAUCGCUCUUUCAUGAUACGGUGAUGAGUGGUGCAUGGCCGUUCAUAGUUGGUGGAGCGAUUUGUCUGGUUAAUUCCGUUAACGAACGAGACUAAAACCUUCAUUUAAUUUGCCAAUCAUGUUCUAGAUCCUUCGGGGUCGUGAGCUAGACUUGAUCAAACUAUUUGAAUGGGAUUAACGCCGUAAUCGAAAGGCGUUUGAAAUUUUUCAAUAACAGGUCUGUGAUGCCCUUAGAUGUCCGGGGCCGC
RNAcentral lists this ribosomal RNA (621 nucleotides) under Buddenbrockia sp. 3 PBS-2014. Its description in RNAcentral is "SSU rRNA". It matches the Rfam family "Eukaryotic small subunit ribosomal RNA", at positions 871 to 1490 of the family's 1831-position model. Lineage: Eukaryota; Metazoa; Cnidaria; Myxozoa; Malacovalvulida; Saccosporidae. The record is from RNAcentral.